GUGCUCACUUUGGCAGCACAUGUACUAAAAUUGGAAUGAUGCAGAGAAGAUCAGCGUGUCUACUGUGCAAGGACAUAAAUAUCUGUGAAUAUAUAAUAAAUAUC
Prionailurus viverrinus (fishing cat) is the source of this 104-nucleotide small nuclear RNA. NCBI's taxonomy places the organism in Eukaryota, Metazoa, Chordata, Mammalia, Carnivora, Felidae. The record is from RefSeq and is a predicted model, not a curated record.